RNAcentral lists this ribosomal RNA (253 nucleotides) under uncultured bacterium. Its description in RNAcentral is "partial 16S ribosomal RNA". It matches the Rfam family "Bacterial small subunit ribosomal RNA", at positions 524 to 776 of the family's 1533-position model. The record is from RNAcentral.
UACAGAGGGUGCAAGCGUUAAUCGGAAUUACUGGGCGUAAAGCGUGCGUAGACGGUUGCGUAAGUCAGAUGUGAAAGCCCCGGGCUCAACCUGGGAAUUGCAUUUGAGACUGCGUAGCUAGGGUGCGGAAGAGGGAAGCGGAAUUUCCGGUGUAGCGGUGAAAUGCGUAGAUAUCGGAAGGAACACCAGUGGCGAAGGCGGCGACCUGGGUCGAGACUGACGCUGAGGCGCGAAAGCGUGGGGAGCAAACAGG